This 466-nucleotide ribosomal RNA is filed under the name uncultured bacterium. Its description in RNAcentral is "partial 16S ribosomal RNA". It matches the Rfam family "Bacterial small subunit ribosomal RNA", at positions 28 to 508 of the family's 1533-position model. The record is from RNAcentral.
GACGAACGCUGGCGGCGUGCUUAACAUAUGCAAGUAGAACGGAAAGGUUCUGCUUGUAGGGUAUUAGAGUGGGGAACGGGUGAGUAAAAAGUGGGUGAUAUGUGAUGCACUUUGGGAUAAGCCUGGGAAAAUGGGUCUAAUACCGGAUAGGAGCCAUUUUUAGUGUGAUGGUUGGAAAGUUUUUUCGGUGUAGGAUGAGCUCGCGGCCUAUCAGCUUGUUGGUGGGGUAAUGGCCUACCAAGGCGGCGACGGGUAGCCGGCCUGAGAGGGUGGACGGCCACAUUGGGACUGAGAUACGGCCCAGACUCCUACGGGAGGCAGCAGGUGGGAAUAUUGCACAAUGGGCGCAAGCCUGAUGCAGCGACGCCGCGUGGUUAAUGACGCCCUUCUUGUUGUAAACUCCUUUCGCUAGGUACAAAGCUUUUUGUGACGGUACCUAGAUAAAAAGCACCGAAUAACUACGUGC